RNAcentral lists this long non-coding RNA (796 nucleotides) under Populus trichocarpa (black cottonwood). RNAcentral's name for it is "long non-coding RNA (PTRI_LNC000966)". Lineage: Eukaryota; Viridiplantae; Streptophyta; Magnoliopsida; Malpighiales; Salicaceae. The record is from RNAcentral.
UUCUGUAUUAUGCCCAUCUCUCUCUCUCUCUCUCUCUAUCUAUCUAUCUAUCUAUCUUGCCCUAUAUUGUUUUGAAGGUGAAGGGAAGAGUUGAAAAGGCAAUGAAGACGAGAGAGAUGCCUUCCUUCGCCUUGGAAGGUGGCAGCAAAACCUGGGCCUGAGAGGUAUAUCCUGUGUCAUAUUCUUUCUCAUUUUCAUUCACCUUUUAUGAUUUUUGUUUCUGUGGUUUUUCUUUUUCUUUUCACAUCUAAACAUUGAAAUAUCUUGGAUUAGAUUUCCAUCUUCGUCCAAUCAGAAUCCAAAAGGGAGGUUAAACUAUCUUCAAUAUUGCCUGUCUUCCAUGUGUCUGGCCUUACGAGAACUCCUCUCUCUCAUUUUUAUAAGGCAACAUAUCUUUCUGUAUCCAACUAAUUGGAAAAGAACUAGAUGCGUCAUACUGAUUGCUUUGGUUUGCGAUGGUAGAAAAGUUUUGUAUUCUAUGAUCUGUUCUCUUUUUGUUUGAUUAAUGCUUGCUUCGGCUCGCCUUGGUUGCUUAAGUGAUAGUUAUUCUUUCUGGCCCAAGUAAGCAUUUUCAGAUACAAAAUGCAAAGAAGUGAUAACAAAAAUUACAAAAUUCAAAUUAAGGAUAGAUUUCUACGUUUAACAUGCAAAACCCUUGACAGAAAUAAUGUUUCAACUUUAAUAUCUGAGUUUCCCUGCCAAUAAAAACUUCUGAUAAUCAUAUUUUGAUCGUCUUUUCUCUCUCUUUGUUCUAGAUGGUCUUCUAUUUAAUUUGCCAUCUGGCCUUCGCUUGCAG